GAUGAACGCUAGCGGCAGGCUUAAUACAUGCAAGUCAAGGGGUAGCAAUACAACCGGCGCACGGGUGAGUAACGCGUACACAACAUACCAUAUACUGGAGUAUAGCUUUGGGAAACUGAAGGUAAUCCUCCAUAACAUUGCGAGAGGGCAUCUGAUUGCAAUUAAAGUUUCGGCGGUAUAUGAUUGGUGUGCGUUUGAUUAGCUAGUUGGUAGGGUAACGGCCUACCAAGGCGACGAUCAAUAGCUGGCGUGAGAGCGCGACCAGCCACACUGGAACUGAGACACGGUCCAGACUCCUACGGGAGGCAGCAGUAGGGAAUAUUGGACAAUGGAGGAAACUCUGAUCCAGCCAUGCCGCGUGAUAGAUGAAGGCCCUCUGGGUUGUAAAUAUCUUUAUCUGGGAAGAAACACUCCUAUUCUUAGGAACUUGACGGUACCAGAGGAAUAAGCACCGGCUAACUCCGUGCCAGCAGCCGCGGUAAAGUAUC
Molecule: ribosomal RNA, 488 nt
Filed under: uncultured bacterium
Lineage: Bacteria
Description: bacterial SSU rRNA
Rfam family: Bacterial small subunit ribosomal RNA
Source: RNAcentral